This 822-nucleotide ribosomal RNA is filed under the name Streptomycetaceae bacterium MOLA 1516. RNAcentral's name for it is "bacterial SSU rRNA". It matches the Rfam family "Bacterial small subunit ribosomal RNA", at positions 25 to 860 of the family's 1533-position model. Lineage: Bacteria; Bacillati; Actinomycetota; Actinomycetes; Kitasatosporales; Streptomycetaceae. The record is from RNAcentral.
CAGGACGACGCUGGCGGCGUGCUUAACACAUGCAAGUCGAACGAUGAACCUCUUUCGGGAGGGGAUUAGUGGCGAACGGGUGAGUAACACGUGGGCAAUCUGCCCUGCACUCUGGGACAAGCCCUGGAAACGGGGUCUAAUACCGGAUAUUGACCUGCCAUCGCAUGGUGGUGGGUGGAAAGCUCCGGCGGUGCAGGAUGAGCCCGCGGCCUAUCAGCUUGUUGGUGGGGUGAUGGCCUACCAAGGCGACGACGGGUAGCCGGCCUGAGAGGGCGACCGGCCACACUGGGACUGAGACACGGCCCAGACUCCUACGGGAGGCAGCAGUGGGGAAUAUUGCACAAUGGGCGAAAGCCUGAUGCAGCGACGCCGCGUGAGGGAUGACGGCCUUCGGGUUGUAAACCUCUUUCAGCAGGGAAGAAGCGCAAGUGACGGUACCUGCAGAAGAAGCACCGGCUAACUACGUGCCAGCAGCCGCGGUAAUACGUAGGGUGCGAGCGUUGUCCGGAAUUAUUGGGCGUAAAGAGCUCGUAGGCGGCUUGUCACGUCGGAUGUGAAAGCCCGGGGCUUAACCCCGGGUCUGCAUUCGAUACGGGCAGGCUAGAGUUCGGUAGGGGAGAUCGGAAUUCCUGGUGUAGCGGUGAAAUGCGCAGAUAUCAGGAGGAACACCGGUGGCGAAGGCGGAUCUCUGGGCCGAUACUGACGCUGAGGAGCGAAAGCGUGGGGAGCGAACAGGAUUAGAUACCCUGGUAGUCCACGCCGUAAACGUUGGGAACUAGGUGUGGGCGACAUUCCACGUCGUCCGUGCCGCAGCUAACGCAU